This is a non-coding RNA of Paramuricea clavata, 833 nucleotides long. The record is from the annotation of a GenBank genome assembly. Lineage: Eukaryota; Metazoa; Cnidaria; Anthozoa; Malacalcyonacea; Plexauridae.
CUGGAGACCUGAGUUCUAACCAAAACAUUCAAAAUGGAGUCAUUGUUUUCACUUUUGUUGAAAUAAAGCAGUUUAUUUUGCGCGACAACAGCUUAGGACAGCCGAAAUAACAACAUCAUGGAUAAGAAAGAUGGAGUAAAGGUAUAAUACUUUCAUUGUGAUUGCUCGCUUUGGUUAAACUUUUAAAGAAAUACUGAACAGAAGUUCCAAGCAUCAAACUUUAUACGUCGGUUUUAAUAAAGUUGCAAUGAUUUGUUGGUGUUUUUUGUUAAAUACUAAAACAUUUAAAACUUUUAUUAGACUUUAUACUUUGUGCUAACUACUUUAAGCUUUAAAUUAUCCAUUUGCUAACUACUUUAAGCUGAAAAUACAUAAAAAAUGAAUAUUGCCCGCUGCAUGAUAUAACUGCAUGAUGAUAGUGCUUAUGAAUGAAAUCCAUCAACAGUGGCGUAGCCAGCCCGACAAUUUGGUCCCGCUAUGCAAAUUCAAAAAUAUUAUCAUUAUUCAUUUCUUUAGAAAUUGAUUGUUUUCACAGUCAAUGAACACAAAAAUAUUUGCAUAGCGGGACUAAAUCGUCGGGCUGGCUACGCUACUGCCCAUCAAUACUUGCAUUAUUUAAGUAUUCUGUAGAAAACAUAUUGAAACAUCAAGGUAUAUAAUCACUGCAUUGCAUACUUCAAUUUUCAGGUCCUCAGUGAGGUUUUUCGAUGUUUCCGAUGUUUUAUAUGUAUGGAAAAAUUGCAAGAUGCUCGGAUGUGCCCACAUUGCUCCAAGCUUUGUUGUUUAGCGUGUAUUCAGGUAUAUUUUACAAGAUUGUGCAUACAUACGGUUAG